Molecule: unclassified non-coding RNA, 155 nt
Filed under: soil metagenome
Description: partial internal transcribed spacer 1
Source: RNAcentral
CAAGAAGAGGCCCUAACCGGUCCUCUCAACCCUGCCCAUCGUACCUUUUCUUGUUGUUCCCUACGGCGGCGCCCGCGGGCCCGCCGGCGGGAAGACCAAACAAACCCUUUUGCAAACAAGCAUAUCAAAAUCUCUGAUCAAAACAUGAAUUGUCA